CCUGGCUCAGGAUGAACGCUAGCUACAGGCUUAACACAUGCAAGUCGAGGGGCAGCAUGGUCUUAGCUUGCUAAGACUGAUGGCGACCGGCGCACGGGUGAGUAACACGUAUCCAACCUGCCGUCUACUCUUGGACAGCCUUCUGAAAGGAAGAUUAAUACAAGAUGGCAUCAUGAGUCCGCAUGUUCACAUGAUUAAAGGUAUUCCGGUAGACGAUGGGGAUGCGUUCCAUUAGAUAGUAGGCGGGGUAACGGCCCACCUAGUCUUCGAUGGAUAGGGGUUCUGAGAGGAAGGUCCCCCACAUUGGAACUGAGACACGGUCCAAACUCCUACGGGAGGCAGCAGUGAGGAAUAUUGGUCAAUGGGCGAGAGCCUGAACCAGCCAAGUAGCGUGAAGGAUGACUGCCCUAUGGGUUGUAAACUUCUUUUAUAAAGGAAUAAAGUCGGGUAUGCAUACCCGUUUGCAUGUACUUUAUGAAUAAGGAUCGGCUAACUCCGUGCCAGCAGCCGCGGUAAUACGGAGGAUCCGAGCGUUAUCCGGAUUUAUUGGGUUUAAAGGGAGCGUAGAUGGAUGUUUAAGUCAGUUGUGAAAGUUUGCGGCUCAACCGUAAAAUUGCAGUUGAUACUGGAUAUCUUGAGUGCAGUUGAGGCAGGCGGAAUUCGUGGUGUAGCGGUGAAAUGCUUAGAUAUCACGAAGAACUCCGAUUGCGAAGGCAGCCUGCUAAGCUGCAACUGACAUUGAGGCUCGAAAGUGUGGGUAUCAAACAGGAUUAGAUACCCUGGUAGUCCACACGGUAAACGAUGAAUACUCGCUGUUUGCGAUAUACUGCAAGCGGCCAAGCGAAAGCGUUAAGUAUUCCACCUGGGGAGUACGCCGGCAACGGUGAAACUCAAAGGAAUUGACGGGGGCCCGCACAAGCGGAGGAACAUGUGGUUUAAUUCGAUGAUACGCGAGGAACCUUACCCGGGCUUAAAUUGCAGAUGAAUUACGGUGAAAGCCGUAAGCCGCAAGGCAUCUGUGAAGGUGCUGCAUGGUUGUCGUCAGCUCGUGCCGUGAGGUGUCGGCUUAAGUGCCAUAACGAGCGCAACCCUUGUUGUCAGUUACUAACAGGUUCCGCUGAGGACUCUGACAAGACUGCCAUCGUAAGAUGUGAGGAAGGUGGGGAUGACGUCAAAUCAGCACGGCCCUUACGUCCGGGGCUACACACGUGUUACAAUGGGGGGUACAGAGGGCCGCUACCACGCGAGUGGAUGCCAAUCCCCAAAACCUCUCUCAGUUCGGACUGGAGUCUGCAACCCGACUCCACGAAGCUGGAUUCGCUAGUAAUCGCGCAUCAGCCACGGCGCGGUGAAUACGUUCCCGGGCCUUGUACACACAGCCCG
Molecule: ribosomal RNA, 1383 nt
Filed under: uncultured bacterium
Lineage: Bacteria
Description: bacterial SSU rRNA
Rfam family: Bacterial small subunit ribosomal RNA
Source: RNAcentral